Peromyscus eremicus (cactus mouse) is the source of this 949-nucleotide long non-coding RNA. RefSeq lists it as uncharacterized. The transcript is spliced from 3 exons. Lineage: Eukaryota; Metazoa; Chordata; Mammalia; Rodentia; Cricetidae. The record is from RefSeq and is a predicted model, not a curated record.
CAAGUGGGCUGGGUCUCCCACUCUUAUGUCUUCACAGCCAGCUCACCUGCACCCCUGCCAACAGGGACAGCUCUACUGUGUGCCCAGGAACUCUGAAGAUCCUCGAGGGACCCACUUCCUCCCUCACCCCAUCCCUUUGUGUCAGCCAGCAACACCUCCAAUACCAGGAGACUCUGCCUGGGAAUCAGGACUCCACUGAACCUGAUGGCAGAUGCAGCUUUCACCUUCCUGCAGACCCUCUCAGCCUUCCCCAUCUAGCCCAUUCCCACUAUUUUCAGUCCUUAGUAACCAGAGACACUUUCUUCCUGGGACUCCCAGUGGCCACAACUGGCAGGGACUCAGAAGCUCUUCCAACCAGGCAACUCACAGCCACCGGAGUCCCCUGAGAUCCAGAGAGGGCAAAAGAGACCAAGGAAUGAAAUAUCAACCCAACAAAGACUAGCUAGAUACCAACACCUAGAAUUACAGUCACUCCCAACCCAGAUGCCUAGACACCAGCAUAAAAAUGUAAUCAAUGGAAGCCUGGACAAUAUGUCACCACCACAGCCCAGCAACCUUAAUACAGAAGGCCCUGAGAAGUGCAUUAGAGCUGAAGCACAAGACGAGGACUUCAACAUAGCUAUUAUGAAUAUGUUCAAGGACCUUAAAGAGGAUAGGAAUGAGUCUGCUAAUAAAGUCUGUGAAAACACAAUCAAACAGUGGAAUAAAGUGAUGAAAACAAUUCAAGAUAUAAAAGUAGAAAUAGAACCAUUAAAGAAGACCCAAAUGGAAGUAAAACUGGAAAUGAAAAAUUUAGGAAGUCAUUUUGGCUAAGGAAGGUAACUGUAGAUCUUCGCCUCCUCCUCCUCUUCUCCUCCAGAUCAGUCCCCAUCCAGUCUCAUUCCUAGCUGUAGACCACCUGUUGAGGCCCACCUUUCCCAUCUUCAGGGGAUCACACAGGUCCUCCCCU